UUCCUUUUUCUCUCUCUAUCUAUAAAAAGAUGAAUAGAAACAACGCUCUGCUUGGUCAAAGUUUCCACACGUUCUCCUGAGGCUGAACAGUGAGGAGACAUGGAGGCUGUGGUUGGACUGUUGGUGAUGCUGCUCGGAGUCUCUCAUGGUAUUGAAACCCACUGUGAUGGCAGACAGGAUGGAGAUGCAGUGUUUUGGAGCUCUGGGAGGAACUGUGGUGCUCCAGCUGAUGGACAAAGCCUCAGAAAUAUUUAAAUACCAAUGGAAUAAAAACAAAACUUGAAAAAUACUUGACGGGAGAAAGGAUAAGAUUGUGUCUAAUCUGAUAGAGGGCAGAUCCAUCUUUGCUCCCAGUAAUGGAAUGUUUAGGAUAAAAAACCUGAGAAUGACUGAUGGUGGUGAAUAUACCCUUCAAAUCUUUGAUUCAGAUGGAUGUGAAUCAGAACAACGGACUCUACAAUUGUCCAUUCAAGAAAUGUUAUCAGUGUCUUUCGGGAGCGGCAACUGUUGCCAUGAUCCACUGGCUGUUGGAUGAUCAGAGGAACAGAGCCUCCAGAAGGCAUGGACGUUAAGGCGCCUUUUAGCGUUGAUGCACCAGAGAAAGACGGACAGAGGGCUGUACAUGCAGUUAAAUGAUGCCACCCCUAUAAUGCUGUCGUACGGUAAUCCAGACGUCUGCGUCAAGAAGGACUUUCGUCUAAAUCGAACAACUGUGGCAUACUUGAUUCAAUUAAUUAC
Molecule: long non-coding RNA, 738 nt
Organism: Thunnus maccoyii (southern bluefin tuna)
Lineage: Eukaryota; Metazoa; Chordata; Actinopteri; Scombriformes; Scombridae
Exons: 4
Source: RefSeq, a predicted model, not a curated record